Long non-coding RNA from Parus major (Great Tit), 1776 nucleotides. The record is from Ensembl. NCBI's taxonomy places the organism in Eukaryota, Metazoa, Chordata, Aves, Passeriformes, Paridae.
ACCUGAGCACAGGGGCAGAGGGGCAGAAUCCCCCCUCCCCUGCUGCCCACGCUGGGGGCUCAGCCCAGCACAGGGGGGUUCCUGGGCUCAGUGCCCGUGGCCGGGGCAGGUUGAGCCUCUCAGCCACCAACAGCCCAAGUCCUUCUCCCCAGGGCUGCUCUCCAUGAGUUCAUCUCCCAGUCUGUGCUCAGGGCUGGGAUUGCCCAGGUGCAGGUGCAGGACCUUGGACAUGUUGAACUCACUUCUCCAGCUUGGGAAGGAUCUCCUGGGAAGCCUGUCCAGCCCCCCCAGCUCCAGGAUGGCUCCAGCACCUCCCCUCCACAACUCUUCUGCAGGCAGAGCAGUCCCAGACUCAGAAAUGUGCAUCUAGUCAACACUCUUUUAUUAAAAACAAUUACAAAAGUUACAGGUUACAAUCGUUCUGUACAACCCAACCAAAGCUCAGGUGCCUGGGGAGGCGAUGGCAGCCCCGGGCCAGGACUGGCUGUGACCACACCCAUGGCGUGGCUGGAUAUGGUUCCACCUUCCCAGGGACAUCCCUUGACACAGGAAACACACCCCCACCCCAAAAGCCUCAGCUUAGGCUGGAGCCUGGGGAAAGGAAGGGGAAAUGAUGCCAGGGGAUUCCUGCCUGGAGGAACCAUCUGCCUGCCCCAGUCCCAGGAGAUGGGAUCGAGCCAAGCAGCUCCACAAGCAGGACACCAGCACAUCGUGUCCAUGUUGGAAUGUCCUGGCUCUGACAGGGAGGGAGCUGCUGUGGGAAGCAGGGGCUGCCUGUCAGGAACAGGCAGGAGGCAAGAGCCAGAUCUGAGACCUGACGUGGCUGCUCCAGGGACAUUCCAUCGCUGCAGCCAGGGGUGAAGAUAAAUGGGGGAUAAACAUGGGAAAGAGGCAGAAGCAGAACAAACCCUCCCUCCCCAGCUGGGAAGCACUGAACUCUGUCUCUCCCACAGUCUGGGCAGGAACAGCACUGUUCCCUGCAGGCCAAGAUGGGCUCAGCAGUAACAGGAGUCUUUACAGCCCCAUUUCUCCUGGGGGCUCCCACAGAGCCUGGCAGAGAAGCUGCCUCCCUGCCUCUGAGGGCAGCAGUGGCAUGGGGAGAGUUCACCAGGCCCAGAGUGGGGCUGGAGCAGGACAUCCCUGCCCUGGAACACAGCCCAGCCCACACUCCUGCCCACAGGCUGGGACAGCUCAGCAGGACAUGCAGGGGACACACAGCUGUCCCCAAACCCUGAGCCCAGCAGGGCUACAAGGGAGUGAGCAGGAAACAAACCCCAGCAGCUCCUGUGCCCCACUGCCCCCAGACUGACACAGCCAGCCCAUGCCAGGGACACAGCAGCCACCAAGGGACACAAUUCCAGUGCUGCCAGGGAGGGCGAGGUGUCACUGCUCUGGGAACGGGGUGAAGGUGCUCCCUGACCCCAGCUGAGACACCCCAGCCAUGGGGAUUGUCCCCUCAGCUCUGCUGUCCCCAGGCAGCAGCAGGGUCUGGGCACAGGGGCCCACCAGGACCAGUCACCCCAGUGACAGUCACACCCAGCAGCUGCUUUUGUCCAGGUGCCAGACACACAGCUGCCUCCUUCGCUCUCUACACAAUUCCCAGCAUCUAAACAAGCAGAAAUGAAGGAUUUCUCCCUAUUGCUUUUGCCUGUACCAAGUCCCAGCACCAGGGGCAGGCUGGUGGGGAGUCCUGCCUGACCUGCACACCCCAAAACACCUUGUUCCCUAAACACAAGCUGACUGGGCCCUGCUGGAAGCUGAGGGUCAGGGAAGGAC